UGCGAGUCGACACAGCAAUGUGUGGCAUACGGCUCAGUAACACGUAGUCAACAUGCCCAGGGGACGUGGAUAACCUCGGGAAACUGAGGAUAAACCGCGAUAGGUCACUACUUCUGGAAUGGGUAAUGACCCAAACCUAUAUGGCCCCUGGAUUGGACUGCGGCCGAUCAGGCUGUUGGUGAGGUAAUGGCCCACCAAACCUGUAACCGGUACGGGCUCUGAGAGGAGGAGCCCGGAGAUGGGCACUGAGACAAGGGCCCAGGCCCUAUGGGGUGCAGCAGGCGCGAAACCUCUGCAAUAGGCGAAGGCUUGACAGGGUUACUCUGAGUGAUUUCCGUUAAGGAGAUCUUUUGGCACCUCUAAAAAUGGUGCAGAAUAAGGGGUGGGCAAGUCUGGUGUCAGCCGCCGCGGUAAUACCAGCACCCCGAGUGGUCGGGACGUUUAUUGGGCCUAAAGCAUCCGUAGCCGGUUCUACAAGUCUUCCGUUAAAUCCACCUGCUUAACAGAUGGGCUGCGGAAGAUACUAUGGAGCUAGGAGGCGGGAGAGGCAAGCGGUACUCGAUGGGUAGGGGUAAAAUCCGUUGAUCCAUUGAAGACCACCAGUGGCGAAGGCGGCUUGCCAGAACGCGCUCGACGGUGAGGGAUGAAAGCUGGGGGAGCAAACCGGAUUAGAUACCCGGGUAGUCCCAGCUGUAAACGAUGCAGACUCGGUGAUGAGUUGGCUUCAUGCCAACUCAGUGCCGCAGGGAUGCCGUUAAGUUUGCCGCCUGGGGAGUACGGUCGCAAGACUGAAACUUAAAGGAAUUGGCGGGGG
This 814-nucleotide ribosomal RNA is filed under the name uncultured crenarchaeote. RNAcentral describes it as "bacterial SSU rRNA". It matches the Rfam family "Archaeal small subunit ribosomal RNA", at positions 52 to 874 of the family's 1478-position model. The record is from RNAcentral. Lineage: Archaea; Thermoproteati; Thermoproteota.